RNAcentral lists this ribosomal RNA (253 nucleotides) under uncultured bacterium. RNAcentral's name for it is "partial 16S ribosomal RNA". It matches the Rfam family "Bacterial small subunit ribosomal RNA", at positions 524 to 776 of the family's 1533-position model. The record is from RNAcentral.
GACAGAGGGUGCAAACGUUGUUCGGAAUUACUGGGCGUAAAGCGCGUGUAGGCGGCCCUGUAAGUCGGGUGUGAAAUCCCACGGCUCAACCGUGGAAGUGCAUUCGAAACUACGGGGCUAGAGUUCUGGAGAGGAAGGUGGAAUGCUUGGUGUAGAGGUGAAAUUCGUAGAUAUCAAGCGGAACACCGGUGGCGAAGGCGGCCUUCUGGACAGUAACUGACGCUGAGACGCGAAAGCGUGGGGAGCAAACAGG